Long non-coding RNA from Sarcophilus harrisii (Tasmanian devil), 865 nucleotides. RefSeq lists it as uncharacterized. The transcript is spliced from 4 exons. The record is from RefSeq and is a predicted model, not a curated record. Lineage: Eukaryota; Metazoa; Chordata; Mammalia; Dasyuromorphia; Dasyuridae.
AUACACGUGGCUUUCUGGGGGCAGCUGUAAGGGAGCAACAGGAAACUGAAAGGAAAGGAGGCAGGGGUUUGCCGGAUAGGUGCUGCAGCGGAGGGGGCUCAGAGAACAGCAUUCGACUCUAGCCUCACACACUGGGCAGCAGGUAAAUCUACUCUAAUACCAUAAUGGGACAAUGAGGUUGAGGAGGAUGAGCAACUGCAGGUGCCAGAAGCUCUAGGGCCAGCAUCUGUGGCUCCUAUUGCAGAGAGAAGCACUGCCAGUGUUCCAGGAGAGGGUGGCAUCUCUUCAAAGGUCUCCCCAGACGUCAGGACUGUGUUAAGAAAGCGAUUCAAUUCGAGAAAGUUUCAGGUAUACUUAUUUCAGUCAAGACAAGUUCUGAAAAACAAGUCUCGAAGAUGAAAAGGAUUAAUUUUGAACUGUCCAUGAAAAUUCGGCAACUUGAAUCUAACCACUCUGAAAAGGAACAAGAAAUUGAAAGACUUAACAAACUCCUGAAAGAUAAUGGACAUCUUGAAUGGCUGAACUAUGCAAUAUUUGUCUAACCACAUGGAGAGGAAAUUUCUUAUUUGACAAAAUGGCCUUUGUACGUGUCAGUGAAACAUCCUGGGUAUCUCCAGGAUAAUUUCUAGAAAUGAUCUCAAGCCUUCACUUAAUUUGUUCUCGGAUCUGAUUAUGUCCAGAUGUAACAUAAUUCCUUCUAAGAGUUAUCUUUUUUCCUUGAUGUGAUAAGAGACUUCCCUUGAUAUCAAAUGUUUCAUAAGCUACAUUUUCUCAUUUUCCGAACUCUAACCUUGCUUGAAUUUGAAUACUAUAACUCAAUGAGUUUGUGUAAAAAUUAAAUAAAAAAUUUUUAGUUUAUUUUUAA